Long non-coding RNA from Peromyscus leucopus (white-footed mouse), 404 nucleotides. RefSeq lists it as uncharacterized. The transcript is spliced from 4 exons. NCBI's taxonomy places the organism in Eukaryota, Metazoa, Chordata, Mammalia, Rodentia, Cricetidae. The record is from RefSeq and is a predicted model, not a curated record.
GAGGAAUCUAGGCACACACAUUUCACCAACAGACUCAAAGGUUCAGCAACUGUGAUCAAAGUAACUGCAAAUAUCAGUGUGUUCGCUUUAGUGUACACAUAAUUCAGCCAACUUGAAAAAUAUUUAUUCAGUGGCCGCUGGCUGUGUGCCAGGUACUGAGCUGGAUCCUGGACGUGAUCAACUGUCUUAUGAAAUCCAGGGCAGAGCUCAAAGCUGCGCUUACCUUGACUUUAUCAUCAGAAGGCCUCUGGCUCUGGGACACAAGGAACAAGUAAACAAGAGGAAUUGAUGUGACAAGAAUUUAGUAAGUACAAGUCAGGCUUCAACUGAAGGUGCCUGCUUCGUGUUCAGUUUUCCACUGCAAAGUGUACAAAUGAGAAAGAAAAAUGGUUCUGUUGACAAAG